RNAcentral lists this ribosomal RNA (274 nucleotides) under uncultured bacterium. Its description in RNAcentral is "partial 16S ribosomal RNA". It matches the Rfam family "Bacterial small subunit ribosomal RNA", at positions 523 to 796 of the family's 1533-position model. The record is from RNAcentral.
AUACAGAGGGUGCAAGCGUUGUUCGGAAUCACUGGGCGUAAAGGGCGCGCAGGCGGUUUGGUAAGUCAGAUGUGAAAGCCCACGGCUCAACCGUGGAAGUGCAUUUGAAACUGUCAGACUUGAGUACUAGAGGGGAAAGUGGAAUUCCCGGUGUAGGGGUGAAAUUCGUAGAUAUCGGGAGGAAUACCGGUGGCGAAGGCGACUUUCUGGCUAGAUACUGACGCUGAGGCGCGAAAGCGUGGGGAGCAAACAGGAUUAGAAACCCCAGUAGUCC